UCCAGAGUAGCUCAAUGGUGGAGCACCCGGCUGUUAACCGGUAGGUUGUGGGU
This 53-nucleotide transfer RNA is filed under the name Caminicella sporogenes DSM 14501. It matches the Rfam family "tRNA", at positions 1 to 52 of the family's 71-position model. Rfam says of the family: Transfer RNA (tRNA) molecules are approximately 80 nucleotides in length. Their secondary structure includes four short double-helical elements and three loops (D, anti-codon, and T loops). Further hydrogen bonds mediate the characteristic L-shaped molecular structure. tRNAs have two regions of fundamental functional importance: the anti-codon, which is responsible for specific mRNA codon recognition, and the 3' end, to which the tRNAs corresponding amino acid is attached (by aminoacyl-tRNA synthetases). tRNAs cope with the degeneracy of the genetic code in two manners: having more than one tRNA (with a specific anti-codon) for a particular amino acid; and 'wobble' base-pairing, i.e. permitting non-standard base-pairing at the 3rd anti-codon position. The record is from Rfam by way of RNAcentral. Lineage: Bacteria; Bacillati; Bacillota; Clostridia; Peptostreptococcales; Caminicellaceae.